UACGGAGGUGGCAGGCGUUACUCGGAUUGAUUGGGUGUAAAGGGCAUGUAGGUGGCGUUGUAAGUCGAAUGUGAAAUCCCUUGGCUCAACCAGGGAACUGCAUUCGAAACUGCUCCGCUUGAGCGUCAGAGAGGAAGAUGGAAUUCACGGUGUAACAGUGAAAUGUGUAGAUAUCGUGAGGAACACCAGUGGCGAAGGCGAUCUUCUGGCUGACUGCUGACACUGAAAUGCGAGAGCUAGGGGAG
This 245-nucleotide ribosomal RNA is filed under the name uncultured bacterium. RNAcentral describes it as "partial 16S ribosomal RNA". It matches the Rfam family "Bacterial small subunit ribosomal RNA", at positions 524 to 768 of the family's 1533-position model. The record is from RNAcentral.